GGCGUGCGCGUGAUCGCUCCCGGCCGCCGGGGGUCGAGUGUACUCUGCGCGCCCCGCCCGCCGUCGUCUGCCCCCCGCGAGGCUGGGGAGCGCGGCCGAAAGCCAUGCCCCUCUUCGUGCCCACUGUAGCAGCUGAGCGGGAGGGGUCCUGCUGGGGGCCGGGGCCGGGCGGGAAAGAAGAGGGCUCCUCCCCCGCGGCUUGGGAGGGCUGCUGAACGCCGGAGCCUUACAACUGUUAAACUCAGGCAGAGCUCGGGAAAUGCUGCCCGGAUGGGUGACUGAUGGAGAGGGGCUACCACUCUUCCAGCUAAACUCCGCUCUGGUUGGGACCCAGCAAUUAUUUUCCAUAGCGAAGUGUUAAUAAAAUAUCUGUUACUCCCAACACAACCUCCUGGGGGAAGGGACCUGUCUGUCUGCUUCAACUUUGGAUCCUCAGUGCCCACAUCAGGAUACCUGGCCUGAGAGAGGGUCCUGCCGGUAUUACCCUGGAGGAAGGAAUGCUGCACAGAGGCCGAGAGGAAUUUGAACAGACUGGCCUUGCUGGGUUUUUAUCUCUUUUUGUCCAAUCCCAUUUUGACACAGUUGUCCAUGCUCCAAUCAUGCUUAUCCAAUGAAGUUUCCAUAACAGGCCUGAGAGGACAGGGUUCAGGAGCUUCCGGACAGCUGAGCAGGUGGAGGUUCCUGGAGGGUGGUGUGCCAGGGAGGGUGUGGAAGCUCUGCCCCUUCCCCCAUACCUUGUCCUAUGCAUUCCUUUAUCUGCAUCCUUCAUUUUAUUUUAUUUUUUUUUGAGACGGAGUCUUGCUCUUGUCGUCCAGGCUGGAAUGCAGUGGUGCGCGAUCUUGGCGCACUGCAACCUCCGCCUCCCGAGUUCAAGAGAUUCUCUUGCCUGAGCCUCCCGAGUAGCUGGGAUUACAGGCACCCGCCACCAUCCCUGGCUAAUUUUUGUAUUUUUAGUAGAGAUGGGGUUUCACCAUGUUGGCCAGGUUAGUCUUGAACUCCUGACCUCAGGUGAUCCACCCACCUCAGCCUCCCAAAGUGCUGAGAUUACAGGCGUGAGCCACAGUGCCCGGCCUGUAUCCUUUAUAAUAUCUUUUAUAAACAACCAAUCAGUAAAUGUGUUACUCUGACUUCUGUGAGCUGCUCUAGCAAAUUAAUCAAAUCCACAGAAGGGUCAUGGGAACCCCAACUUGAAGCCUGUCCGUCAGAAGUUCCAGAGUCCUGGACUUGUGACUGGUGUCUGAAGUGGGCAAGUCUUGGGGACUGAGCCCCUAGCCUGUGGGAUCUGAUGCUAUCUCCACAUAGAUAGCAAUGGAAUUGAAUUGGCGGGCACCUGGCUGGUGUCUGCUGCAGAGCUCAUUGUUUGCUUAGUGGUGGAGAGAAGUCUCCCUCCACAUGUGGUCACAGCAUCUUCUGUCUGUGUUGAUUGCUUUUGAUGUUGAUCGAGAGAACAGGAAAAAGCACAUUGAAUGUCUCAAUGAUGAAGAUGACAAUAAUCUGGCUUCUAGGUUGUUAUGCGGCAGGCAACAGCUGUGCAGAUCCUAAUAAUCUACUCUGGGUGACAGUUUAACACAGGGGUUGGCAAAUGUGGCCCACUUCCUAUUUUUAUAAAUAAAGUUUUAUUGAAACAUGGCCAUGCUCAUUCAUUUACAUAUCAUGCUGCUCUGCUAGAGUUGAGUGGUGGUGAUAAGACACCUAUGGUCAAUAGAGUCCUUUACAGAAGAAAGGAUUUACUAUUCGGCCCUUUACAGAAAAAGUCUGUCAUCCUGCCCUCAUUCAUUAGUAGACAACCAGCUGGUUCCUGGACUUCCUUGAGGAAAGUGCUAUAUUAAGCAGUUGUGGGUAUAAAGUCUGGGCUCCAACACUUGCUCUGUGACCUUGGGCAAGUUACUUACCUAGUCUGGGCUCAUCAUUUUCACAGGUAUAACAGGAGUAAUGACAUGGUGGGGAUGAAGUGGGAUAUUGUCUGGACCACGCUUUGCAUAGUGUCUCAUGGCUAGGAAGUACUCUAUACAAAGUAGUUACUAUUAUUAGCUAUUAUAUUUCAACUGAUGAAAGGUACAAAGAAACUCCCAGGAAGCGGGUCAUUGCUGCAUGCCGCUGUCUUUAAAGAACGCCCAGCAGCAAUCCCAUACGUAGCCAACAAGAUAUGUGGACGUCAAAAGUAAGUGCUCCUUGGGUGCAGCACACCAACAUGGCACAUAUAUACACAUGUAACAAACCUGCACGUUGUGCACAUGUACCCUAAAACUUAAAGUAUAAUAAUAAAAAAAUUUUAAAAAAAAGUAAGUGCUCCUAUGCAACAUACCCAGUAAAUUAAUGAUUCCAACUUCCUUUUCAGUUAAAGCAGUGGAUCAGAAUUUGAAAAGGAGUAAAGGUCAAGGCCAUGAGGUCUAACUAACACGGUAGCAUCAGAGCCUGGCCCAUAGUAGGCCCCCAGUGUCUACCGGCUGAAUGGAUGGAGGCUGGUUGUUUAACUGUCAAACCAUACUCUCUGAUGAUAAGACCACAGUUAGCCAGAAGAUAAAGUUUCUGCCUCCAAUAUUUUUGGGUCUUAGAAAGGAAAACAGUUUGCUAAAGAUGACAGGAAACUCAAAACAAGGACCUGUUAAUGCUUCCCCCAACUGGACGGAGGCAUUGCAAAAGGAUUCCUGGGCAACAGAUGGGCAAAGAAAAAUGUUUAAAAACAAAAGCAGGCACAUAAGGUCAUGAAUUGGCCCAAAAUAACCUGGGACACUGAGCAGACGGAUGCAAGCAGUGCACCUGACGGAAAUGAGGCCAAGCUGAUGAGCUGAAAUAGCCUCACUGGUGCCCUCCAUCCUGCUUUAGGAGGCCUCAGCAUGGCAAAGAGGCAUGCAUUAGCGUUAUUAGGUUUAGGUUUCCUCACAUCCUUAGUGGAUUGCCUUCAUUCCUAAGUCCCUAAAAAAUUGGAAACCACUCCACUUACCAGGAGCACACUUUGGAAUGCAGAUCUGGAAGCUAUUUUUUCCCUCCAGACAUUUCAUGACUUUGGUUUCUACAACAGCAGGCGAUGGUGAUGCUGCCAAGUUUCAAGAGAAGGGCACCUUAUCUGCAAAGUCACGAAUCCAAGGAUCCACAUGGGCUCCCACUGGCAAGGGCGGAAGGAAGUUGUGUGUCUUAGCUUCUUGAAAGAUCAGAAGAAGAUUGGGAGGUUUGGGUAUACAGGUACCUCACUGUACUGUGGUGCAACCCCCAGGGGAAAGACUGCUGGUAGCUUCUCAGAAUCAGUAGUGGGUGGGGGCUGUGUAGCAGAGCGUCGUAGUAAAUGCCCAUUUGGUUGCAAUGAACAGAAACUCAAACCAGCUAAAGCAAAAAGAGGGCACCUAUAGGGAAGAAAAGCCAGCUCCUGAUGUCCAAGCCUGACUCUUCAGCUUUGCAUAGCCACUGAUUCUCUGACCUUCCUCAUUUCCUCCCAGUAAACUCUCUUUCUGUUUAAGUUAGCCACAGGAGGUAUCUGUUGUUUACAACCAAGGGAUCUUGAGUGAUACAAAGGGUCCUAGUGGAACCCAAGGGCAGGUACUGGAACUGGCCUUCACAAGGAAGGGAACUGGGAAUCAGAAAGUCAUUGGGAAUCAAGGUAACUUUCUUCUGGGUCAGCUGGGAAUGUAUUCAGCUUCAAAUAGCAGAAAACCCAAUGUGAGUAGAUUGUAAAAAUCUGGAGCUCCUCCCACACAGACUCUGGCUUUAUCUGAUGGGAUAUUAACAAACAUAAGGCAAGUAGAAACUUGAAAAGUGCUUGUGCACUGGGGCUUGUUCUCACCUGCUGUUCUUGGCAACCUGUGGCCACCACAUGUGAACGAGCCUAGUCCAGUCGGCUGAAGGAUGAGUGGGCCUGCUGAGCAGAGACAAAGCGUGGCAGUGGAAGGCCUCUCUAGACCAGGUUUCUCAACCUCAGUGCUACUGACAUUUUAGAUCAAAUAAUUCUUUGUUAUGGGGAGUUCUUUUGUCCAUUGUAGAAUGUUUAGCAGCACCUUUGGCCUCUACCUCUAGAAGAGCACCUGCCCUUCCUUCGUUGUGACAACUAAAAUUAUGUCCAGACAUGGCCAAAGUUCUCUUGGGGGGCAAAAUUGCUCCUUGUUGAGAACUACUACCCUAACCCAACUUGCCUGCCAAGGCCAGGUGUAUGAGGCCAGGUGUAUGAAAGAGGCCAUUCUAAACCAUCCAGCCCCAGCCAAGACAGUCCAGACAGGAAAAGUGUGCAGCUUGACCCAUGGAAUCAAAAGAAAUAAUAAAUAUUUG
This 4257-nucleotide long non-coding RNA is filed under the name Homo sapiens (human). RNAcentral describes it as "non-protein coding lnc-CASP9-1:5". The record is from RNAcentral. Lineage: Eukaryota; Metazoa; Chordata; Mammalia; Primates; Hominidae.